AUUGAACGCUGGCGGCAGGCCUAACACAUGCAAGUCGAGCGGAUGAAGGGAGCUUGCUCCUGGAUUCAGCGGCGGAAGGGUGAGUAAUGCCUAGGAAUCUGCCUGGUAGUGGGGGAUAACGUCCGGAAACGGGCGCUAAUACCGCAUACGUCCUGAGGGAGAAAGUGGGGGAUCUUCGGACCUCACGCUCUCAGAUGAGCCUAGGUCGGAUUAGCUAGUUGGUGGGGUAAAGGCCUACCUAGGCGACGAUCCGUAACUGGUCUGAGAGGAUGAUCAGUCACACUGGAGCGUGAACACGGUCCUUGCUCCUACGGGAGGCAGCAGUGGGGAAUAUUAGACAAUGGGCGAAAGCCUGGUCCAGCCAUGCCACGUGUGUGAAGAAGGUCUUCGGAUUGUAAAGCACUUUAAGUUGUGAGGAAGGGCAGUAAGUUGAUACCAUGCUGUUUUGACGGUACCAACAGAAUAAGCACCGGCUAACUUCGUG
RNAcentral lists this ribosomal RNA (484 nucleotides) under uncultured bacterium. RNAcentral describes it as "partial 16S ribosomal RNA". It matches the Rfam family "Bacterial small subunit ribosomal RNA", at positions 30 to 507 of the family's 1533-position model. The record is from RNAcentral.